This 499-nucleotide ribosomal RNA is filed under the name uncultured bacterium. Its description in RNAcentral is "partial 16S ribosomal RNA". It matches the Rfam family "Bacterial small subunit ribosomal RNA", at positions 28 to 507 of the family's 1533-position model. The record is from RNAcentral.
GACGAACGCUGGCGGCGUGCCUAAUACAUGCAAGUCGAGCGGACUGAAUGGGAGCUUGCUCUUGUUCGGUCAGCGGCGGACGGGUGAGUAACACGUGGGCAACCUGCCCGCAAGACCGGGAUAACUCCGGGAAACCGGAGCUAAUACCGGAUAACACCGAAGACCGCAUGGUCUUUGGUUGAAAGGCGGCGCAAGCUGCCACUUGCGGAUGGGCCCGCGGCGCAUUAGUUAGUUGGUGAGGUAACGGCUCACCAAGGCGACGAUGCGUAGCCGGCCUGAGAGGGUGACCGGCCACACUGGGACUGAGACACGGCCCAGACUCCUACGGGAGGCAGCAGUAGGGAAUCUUCCGCAAUGGGCGAAAGCCUGACGGAGCGACGCCGCGUGAGCGAAGAAGGCCUUCGGGUCGUAAAGCUCUGUUGUGAGGGACGAAGGAGCGCCGUUUGAAGAAGGCGGCGCGGUGACGGUACCUCACGAGGAAGCCCCGGCUAACUACGUG